This 1401-nucleotide ribosomal RNA is filed under the name uncultured bacterium. RNAcentral describes it as "16S ribosomal RNA". It matches the Rfam family "Bacterial small subunit ribosomal RNA". The record is from RNAcentral.
AGAGUUUGAUCCUGGCUCAGGAUGAAUUCUAGCUACAGGCUUAACACAUGCAAGUCGAGGGGCAGCAGGGAGAUAGCUUGCUAUCUUUGCUGGCGACCGGCGCACGGGUGAGUAACGCGUAUCCAACCUACCCCGUACUCAGGGAUAGCCCGUUGAAAGACGGAUUAAUACCUGAUGUUCUCCUUUUUUGGCAUCAUUAUUGGAGCAAAGAUUGAUCGGUACGGGCUGGGGAUGCGUCUGAUUAGCUUGCCGGCAGGGUAACGGCCUACCGGGGCAACGAUCAGUAGGGGUUCUGAGAGGAAGGUCCCCCACAUUGGAACUGAGACACGGUCCAAACUCCUACGGGAGGCAGCAGUGAGGAAUAUUGGUCAAUGGAGGCAACUCUGAACCAGCCAAGUAGCGUGCAGGAUGACGGCCCUAUGGGUUGUAAACUGCUUUUAUGCGGGGAUAAAGGAGCCUACGUGUAGGCUUUUGCAGGUACCGCAUGAAUAAGGACCGGCUAAUUCCGUGCCAGCAGCCGCGGUAAUACGGAAGGUCCGGGCGUUAUCCGGAUUUAUUGGGUUUAAAGGGAGCGUAGGCGGUCUGUUAAGCGUGUUGUGAAAUGUAGGUGCUCAACAUCUGCACUGCAGCGCGAACUGGCGGACUUGAGUUGGCUGAAAGUAUGCGGAAUUCGUGGUGUAGCGGUGAAAUGCUUAGAUAUCACGAAGAACUCCGAUUGCGAAGGCAGCAUGCUGUAUCCUUACUGACGCUGAAGCUCGAAGGUGCGGGUAUCGAACAGGAUUAGAUACCCUGGUAGUCCGCACGGUAAACUAUGGAUGCCCCCCUGUUGGCCAAAUAGUGUUCAGCGGCCAAGCGAAAGCGUUAAGCAUCCCACCUGGGGAGUACGCCGGCAACGGUGAAACCUCAAAGGAAUUGACGGGGGCCCGCACAAGCGGAGGAACAUGUGGUUUAAUUCGAUGAUACGCGAGGAACCUUACCCGGGCUUGAACUGCACAGGACUGAUACAGAGAUGUUGAUUCCCUUCGGGGCCUGUGCGGAGGUGCUGCAUGGUUGUCGUCAGCUCGUGCCGUGAGGUGUCGGCUUAAGUGCCAUAACGAGCGCAACCCCUUUCGUCAGUUGCCAUCAGGUUCUGCUGGGCACUCUGGCGACACUGCCACCGUAAGGUGCGAGGAAGGUGGGGAUGACGUCAAAUCAGCACGGCCCUUACGUCCGGGGCUACACACGUGUUACAAUGGCAGGUACAGAGGGCCGGCGCCUGGCAACAUGCGUCCAAUCCUUAAAGCCUGCCUCAGUUCGGAUUGGGGUCUGCAACCCGACCCCAUGAAGCUGGAUUCGCUAGUAAUCGCGCAUCAGCCAUGGCGCGGUGAAUACGUUCCCGGGCCUUGUACUCACCGCCCGUCA